RNAcentral lists this ribosomal RNA (706 nucleotides) under Pristimantis bicantus. RNAcentral's name for it is "partial large subunit ribosomal RNA". The stretch from base 446 to 694 matches the Rfam family "Archaeal large subunit ribosomal RNA", at positions 1787 to 2143 of the family's 2987-position model. Lineage: Eukaryota; Metazoa; Chordata; Amphibia; Anura; Strabomantidae. The record is from RNAcentral.
CUUAGCGAUAGCUGGUUUCUCAAAAAAAAGAAUCUUUAGUCCCAACCUAAAGUUAUACAAAAUUUACAUAAAUUUUCCCACUCACUUUAGAGCAAUUCAAAUGAGGUACAGCCCAUUUGAUACAGGAUCCAACCUUUACUAACGGGUAAUAUCUGACUCCACCCCCAAGUAGGCUUAAGAGCAGCCACCUUUUAAAAAGCGUCAAACCUUAACGUAUUAACACCAAUUCACAACCCCCCAUCAACCCCUUUCACCCUACUGAGAACUUCUAUAACAUUAUAGAACCUUUAAUGUUAAAACUAGUAACAAGAGAUACACCCUCUCUAUAAUGCAAACUCAAACCAGCAAGAACCUAUCACUGGUGAUUAACAGAAACAAAGUAGUAACUUUCUCAAGAAAACUCUACUCCCUCAACUGUUAACCUAACACAAGAGCAUCCCAAGAAAGAUUUAAAGAAAAAGAAGGAACUCGGCAAACAUAAAUCUCGCCUGUUUACCAAAAACAUCGCCUCUUGUCACCUAUAAGAGGUCCAGCCUGCCCAGUGACUCUUGUUCAACGGCCGCGGUAUCCUAACCGUGCGAAGGUAGCGUAAUCACUUGUCUUUUAAAUAAAGACUAGUAUGAAAGGCACCACGAAGAUUAAACUGUCUCCUCUCUCCAAUCAGUGAACCUAAUCUCCCCGUGAAAAAGCGGGAAUUUUUAUAUAA